This is a long non-coding RNA of Sinocyclocheilus anshuiensis, 307 nucleotides long. RefSeq lists it as uncharacterized. The transcript has 3 exons. The record is from RefSeq and is a predicted model, not a curated record. NCBI's taxonomy places the organism in Eukaryota, Metazoa, Chordata, Actinopteri, Cypriniformes, Cyprinidae.
AAGCUGCAAUGAUGACCUAACUGUCAAAAAGGACCAAUGUUUAGUACGAUCAUUUGCAGAUUCCAAAUUUCACACAGUGGCACGCAAAGAUGUUCAGGAAGUAAACAUUGGCACCCUCUCCAAACCUGAGUGCUCAAACAGGAAAGGGUUUGAAGCAGCACAUCACUUUCUACAGGCCAGACAGGUCCCUGACAACUGGAAAGUAAACUUGAGUGAGAUUCUUGAAUCCUCUAGCAGUGAUGAAGAAGACGAUGAUGAGGAUGGUGAAGGCAAAAAGGGCGAAGAGGAGGAGAAGGAGCCAGAACCA